This 466-nucleotide ribosomal RNA is filed under the name uncultured bacterium. RNAcentral describes it as "partial 16S ribosomal RNA". It matches the Rfam family "Bacterial small subunit ribosomal RNA", at positions 28 to 507 of the family's 1533-position model. The record is from RNAcentral.
GAUGAACGCUGGCGGCGUGCUUAACACAUGCAAGUCGAACGAUGAAGCCCAGCUUGCUGGGUGGAUUAGUGGCGAACGGGUGAGUAACACGUGAGUAACCUGCCCUUAACUCUGGGAUAAGCCUGGGAAACUGGGUCUAAUACCGGAUAGGAGCGUCCACCGCAUGGUGGGUGUUGGAAAGAUUUAUCGGUUUUGGAUGGACUCGCGGCCUAUCAGCUUGUUGGUGAGGUAAUGGCUCACCAAGGCGACGACGGGUAGCCGGCCUGAGAGGGUGACCGGCCACACUGGGACUGAGACACAGCCCAGACUCCUACGGGAGGCAGCAGUGGGGAAUAUUGCACAAUGGGCGCAAGCCUGAUGCAGCGACGCCGCGUGAGGGAUGACGGCCUUCGGGUUGUAAACCUCUUUCAGUAGGGAAGAAGCGAAAGUGACGGUACCUGCAGAAGAAGCACCGGCUAACUACGUG